AGAGCGAACGCUGGCGGCAGGCUUAACACAUGCAAGUCGAGCGGGCGUAGCAAUACGUCAGCGGCAGACGGGUGAGUAACGCGUGGGAACAUACCUUUUGGUUCGGAACAACNCAGGGAAACUUGUGCUAAUACCGAAUAAGCCUUACGGGGAAAGAUUUAUCGCCGAAAGAUUGGCCCGCGUCUGAUUAGCUUGUUGGUGAGGUAACGGCUCACCAAGGCGACGAUCAGUAGCUGGUCUGAGAGGAUGAUCAGCCACAUUGGGACUGAGACACGGCCCAAACUCCUACGGGAGGCAGCAGUGGGGAAUAUUGGACAAUGGGCGCAAGCCUGAUCCAGCCAUGCNNNNNGAGUGAUGAAGGCCCUAGGGUUGUAAAGCUCUUUUGUGCGGAAGAUAAUGACGGUA
This 405-nucleotide ribosomal RNA is filed under the name uncultured rape rhizosphere bacterium wr0097. RNAcentral describes it as "bacterial SSU rRNA". It matches the Rfam family "Bacterial small subunit ribosomal RNA", at positions 26 to 458 of the family's 1533-position model. The record is from RNAcentral.